Lates calcarifer (barramundi perch) is the source of this 1498-nucleotide long non-coding RNA. RefSeq lists it as uncharacterized. The transcript has 2 exons. NCBI's taxonomy places the organism in Eukaryota, Metazoa, Chordata, Actinopteri, Centropomidae. The record is from RefSeq and is a predicted model, not a curated record.
CAUAAUCUUGUAUUUAUGAACUUUCGAAUUGCACAAUAAAGUGAGGAGAGAUUUACGGCAUGGGGUUUCUCCAGGGUGGCUCUCUGUAGUGUUAAAGUUACUCUUUCUGAUUGUCUCUGCCUCUCCAGUUAAGGGAAAUAGACAGUGAUAAUCAAUUGUGUUCAUGAACUGAGGAGUACUUGAAUGUAGCGCAGAUGGUGUUUGAGCCUGGGUGAUUAUUUUUACACUUUGACCACUCUAUUAACUGUGUUGUUUGUCAGAGUAGGAGUGUAUAUCCUAGCUUGGAGACCUUAGCCCUUGUUGAUGCCAUCUUUGAGGCUGAAUUUUGAGCUGAUGUUUUAUGCCAAGGUGAAAUGUUCUUGACCUGUGAUGAGUAGAGUUGGCUGGCAGUUUGAUAGAAGGAUAAGUCACAUGCUUGGCAGCUGAUAUGCAUCAUUUAAAGACUGUUUAUUUUCAUCAACUAUUGAAAUGAUCAGGCUGUAAUAAAAGCCCUGGCUCAUUACACAUGUCUCUGUACUUAUCAUUUUCCUUAAUGCAGACCUCCAUCCACCUGACAGGCUUCUGCUUUACCUCAGUGAAAUAAAAGAGAUUUGUUGGCUCAGACAGUGCAGCAUCCAAAAGAAGAAGAAGAAAACCAAAGCUUCAGUAUGGACAUUAAGCUGAAGCAAAACAAUUGUAAAGUGAAAAUGUAAUCAAUAUAUUAUUAGGAACACCAUAAUAAUACUGGAUAUGGCCUCCCUUUGCUCUCAAAACAGUCUCAGUUUUUAAUGGAAUGGAUUGAUCUAUGUUGACACGAUUGCAUCACAUAAUUUCUGCAGAUUUGUCAGCUGUACAAUCACUCUACCAAUCUCAUGUUCAGCCACAUCCCAAAGGUCUUCUAUUGGAUUUAGUCAUGGUGACUUGGGAGGCAAUUUAAGUACACUGAACAAAUUUCCAUGUUCAUGAAAUCUAUUUGAGAUGACUUGUGCUUUGCAAAAUGGGGCAUUAUCAUGCUGGAGGUAGCCAUUACAAGAUGUCUGAAUUGUGGCCACAAAGGGAUGCAACAACACUCUUCAGUCAACAGUCUUCCCCUGCCAGUUUAGGUGUUCAAACCAUGACUGACCACCACCAGCCUGAACUGUUGACACAAGUGCAUGGAAUCAUGAUGUUGUUGUCAGAUUCUGACCCUAACAUCUGCAGGCCUCAGUAGAAAUCUAGAUUCACCAGGCUAGGCUUUGGCUAAUUUCCCAUUCUGAUGUCUAAUGCGUAUAUUACAUGAAGCUUCUGACCUGUAUCUGAAUGAUUUUAUGUUUUGCACUGCUGCUACAUGAUUGGCUGAUUGAUGGAUUCAGCGGGUCUACAUGCGUUCCUUAUAAAGUGCUCAGUGAGUGUAUACUGUGUUGGGGAUGUGGCUAUUUAAGCUCUUUAUGCUGAGAACUAAAUUGAUAUGAGAUACUGUGUUUCAUUUUUAAUCUACCAUAAAACAGACAGAAUUAAUAAAAGAUCUUCAUAAAUUUUG